This 22-nucleotide unclassified non-coding RNA is filed under the name Mus musculus (house mouse). Its description in RNAcentral is "oocyte_clustered_small_RNA4473". Lineage: Eukaryota; Metazoa; Chordata; Mammalia; Rodentia; Muridae. The record is from RNAcentral.
UGGCUGCCUAGGUUUAUCUAAA